RNAcentral lists this ribosomal RNA (465 nucleotides) under Vreelandella stevensii. RNAcentral describes it as "partial 16S ribosomal RNA". It matches the Rfam family "Bacterial small subunit ribosomal RNA", at positions 338 to 795 of the family's 1533-position model. The record is from RNAcentral. Lineage: Bacteria; Pseudomonadati; Pseudomonadota; Gammaproteobacteria; Oceanospirillales; Halomonadaceae.
CCUACGGGAGGCUGCAGUGGGGAAUAUUGGACAAUGGGGGCAACCCUGAUCCAGCCAUGCCGCGUGUGUGAAGAAGGCCCUCGGGUUGUAAAGCACUUUCAGUGAGGAAGAACGCCUGGUGGUUAAUACCGAUCAGGAAAGACAUCACUCACAGAAGAAGCACCGGCUAACUCCGUGCCAGCAGCCGCGGUAAUACGGAGGGUGCGAGCGUUAAUCGGAAUUACUGGGCGUAAAGCGCGCGUAGGUGGCUUGAUAAGCCGGUUGUGAAAGCCCCGGGCUCAACCUGGGAACGGCAUCCGGAACUGUCAAGCUAGAGUGCAGGAGAGGAAGGUAGAAUUCCCGGUGUAGCGGUGAAAUGCGUAGAGAUCGGGAGGAAUACCAGUGGCGAAGGCGGCCUUCUGGACUGACACUGACACUGAGGUGCGCAUGCGUGGGUAGCAAACAGGAUUAGAUACCCCAGUAGUC